Molecule: long non-coding RNA, 563 nt
Filed under: Homo sapiens (human)
Lineage: Eukaryota; Metazoa; Chordata; Mammalia; Primates; Hominidae
Description: HSALNT0308223
Source: RNAcentral
UUGGGCUGGGCGGUCGCCCUGCCCCACCGCCCUUCGGCGCUCGCAGAAAAAUCAUGUCUUCUUCCAGAGUGGGGCUCCGUUUGGCUGCCUGUUUACUAAACGUUUCAGAAGCCGGAAGAAAAUACAUUGUUGAGAACAUAGCAAAAGCAGCUCUUCUUGACAAAAAUGGAAAGAAACAUCCUCAAGUUUCAGUGCUCAAUAUAUUUUCCGAUCAAGACUACAAGAGAUCAGUCAUUACAAUAGCAACUUCUGUUGAUAAGUUGGUGGACAAGCGCAACCAAGCCUAAAGGCAAGUGCUGUUGCGAGGUCGACAUCCAGGAACCAGAGGAGGGCAGAGCAAUCCACAGAAUGGAUCUGGGGUGACUCAUGGAGGAAAACCAACACACAGUACCAUUUAAUUCUUUUUAAAAAGAUGGAAAAUUAUACCAUACCCAGAAUUACUAAAUUCUAAAUAGAGGGUAUAUUGCAUUUACAUUUGUAAAAGAAUGUUUCCCCAUGUAUCUUUUAAAAAUUCAUUUUAAAGAUAUACAAUAAAAAGUGUUUAACUCUGUUUUUCAAAAAUA